CACGUAGGGCGCAAGCGUUGUCCGGAAUUAUUGGGCGUAAAGAGCUCGUAGGCGGUCUGUUGCGUCCGCUGUGAAAACUGGGGGCUCAACCCCCAGCCUGCAGUGGGUACGGGCAGACUAGAGUGGCGGUAGGGGAGAUUGGAAUUCCUGGUGUAGCGGUGGAAUGCGCAGAUAUCAGGAGGAACACCGAUGGCGAAGGCAGAUCUCUGGGCCGUAACUGGACGCUGAGGAGCGAAAGCAUGGGGAGCGAACAGG
This 255-nucleotide ribosomal RNA is filed under the name uncultured bacterium. RNAcentral describes it as "partial 16S ribosomal RNA". It matches the Rfam family "Bacterial small subunit ribosomal RNA", at positions 524 to 776 of the family's 1533-position model. The record is from RNAcentral.